GGGUCGUUAGCUCAGCUGGUAGAGCAACGGACUCUUAAUCCGAAGGUCGGGAGUUCGAUCCUCCCACGACCCACCA
Molecule: transfer RNA, 76 nt
Filed under: Nitrosomonadaceae bacterium
Lineage: Bacteria; Pseudomonadati; Pseudomonadota; Betaproteobacteria; Nitrosomonadales; Nitrosomonadaceae
Description: tRNA-Lys
Rfam family: tRNA
About the family: Transfer RNA (tRNA) molecules are approximately 80 nucleotides in length.
Source: RNAcentral